UCCCUUCUCUUAUACUACCCCCAUUGGUUCUUUUGGAGAGGCGUUGGCUGUUGAAAGUAUAACCGACAUCAACAAAUACAAUAACCCAAAACCGACCCCUGUUUCUCCUAAACAUUUUCCCCUUAUAAAACUCCAGAAAUUACUCAAACAAGAUUCACAUUUAUUUCUAAAAACUUUCUAAAAAGCUCCUAUUGAUAUAUUCCCCUGCUUCUUGAAUCGCCAUGGACGCGAAGAUCGGAGCAAUUGACACGUGUAAACCGGCGAACAACGACGUGGGAAGCUUACCAACAACCAACAGCGUUACCAUUCACACACCUACCGUUCCGUUCAACUCACCGGACUCCACACUAGGCCGUCAUUUAGCACGCCGUUUAGUCCAAGUCGGCGUCACCGACGUUUUUGGCGUUCCCGGCGACUUUAAUCUUACACUUUUAGACCACUUAAUAGCUGAACCUGGGCUCAAAUUCAUUGGCUGUUGUAACGAGCUAAAUGCUGGGUAUGCUGCUGAUGGGUACGCUAGAGCUCGUGGUGUUGGAGCUUGUGUUGUGACUUUUACUGUUGGUGGACUUAGUGUUCUUAAUGCUAUUGCUGGUGCUUAUAGUGAGAAUCUUCCUUUGAUAUGUAUUGUUGGUGGGCCUAAUUCUAAUGAUUAUGGAACUAACAGAAUCCUUCAUCAUACUAUUGGAUUGCCUGAUUUUAGUCAAGAACUUCGUUGCUUUCAAACUGUUACUUGUUACCAGGUAGGUUUAUAGCUUGCUACAGAGUUUAGUUACUUCACUGUUUUUAAAUUUUAGAUAAAUAUAGUAUUGAUUGAUAUAAUUUUUUUGUUUUUUUUGGUGUUUUUUUCAGGCUGUGGUGAAUAACUUAGAGGAUGCACAUGAACUGAUCGAUACAGCGAUAUCUACGGCGUUGAAAGAGAGUAAGCCGGUUUAUAUAAGCAUAGGUUGUAACUUGCCGGGGAUUCCACACCCCACUUUUAGCCGUGAACCGGUACCAUUUUGCCUCUCUCCUAGGUAUAUUAUUGACCAUUUCAUUUUAUUCACUUAAUAUGCUCUGUUUGUUUCAUGUAUGUGAGGAUUUUUAUGGUGUGUGACAGUAUUUACUCUGUUUUCGUCAAGUUUAAGAUGUUGAUUUGAGCUUUUUAUACGUAGGAGAAAAUAUUAUUUUGAUUAUUGAAGUAUUGGAACAAAAUAUCAAAAUGAUAGUUAUAAAGUAAGUUUAAUAGCGAAAAAUGUCCGAUUGGAAUUCAAAUUUUGAAUAGGAUUACCUAUUUGUUUUCUUGAAAGAAUGGAAUGUCAUUAGCCAUGUUAUAUGUCUUGAAAUAAAAAAGAGUAUCAUAUAAGCUGUUUUAUAAUUACAACGAUAUCAUAUAAUUUGGGACAGAUGAAUAUCUUCUUUAGUGUUGAUUCUGUUUUGUAAUUAAUGUGGUCAAGGUGUUUACUUAUAUGGUUUUUAUCUGGUAUUAGAUUGAGUAAUCAGAUGGGUUUGGAAGCAGCAGUGGAGGCAGCUGCAGAGUUCUUAAACAAAGCUGUGAAACCAGUUGUUGUGGGAGGGCCAAAAUUGCGCGUUGCAAAGGCAUCUGAGGCAUUUGUUGAAUUGGCGGAUGCCAGUGGAUAUGCUGUUGCAGUGAUGCCAUCGGCUAAGGGGCUGGUUCCAGAACACCAUCCUCAUUUCAUUGGAACUUAUUGGGGUGCAGUGAGCACGGCUUUCUGCGCUGAAAUUGUGGAAUCUGCUGAUGCUUACUUGUUUGCUGGGCCUAUUUUUAACGACUAUAGCUCUGUUGGGUAUUCUCUGCUUCUUAAGAAAGAGAAAGCAAUCAUUGUCCAGCCGGAUCGUGUGACUAUUGCGAAUGGACCUGCAUUUGGUUGUGUUCUAAUGAAGGAUUUCCUUGCCGCUUUGGCCAAGAGGCUAAAGCACAACCCGACUGCAUACGAAAAUUAUCGUAGGAUUUAUGUUCCAGAAGGACAUCCUCUUAAGUGCGAGCCUAAGGAGGCAUUAAGGGUUAAUGUUCUCUUUGAGCACAUUCAGAGGAUGUUGUCUGGUGACACUGCUGUGAUUGCUGAGACAGGGGAUUCAUGGUUCAAUUGCCAGAAGCUUAAACUGCCCAAGGGAUGCGGGUAGGCUCCAAAUGACUGUGAAAUGCCAUUGGUAUUUGCUUAAAUGUUCAUCUAUAAUGACUUGUUACUCUUUGGCUUUCUUUCAGGUAUGAGUUCCAGAUGCAGUAUGGAUCUAUCGGUUGGUCUGUUGGCGCAACUCUUGGUUAUGCGCAAGCAGCACGAGAAAAGAGGGUGAUUGCUUUCAUUGGUGAUGGUAGCUUCCAGGUAAAACAGAUUGUUCUAUGAACUUUAAUUCAGCACAGUGAAUUGGUUGUGUUUAUCUAUUCCAUCGUUCUGUAUUGCAAAUAUUCGCAGGUGACUGCUCAGGAUAUAUCAACAAUGCUGCGAUGCGGGCAGAGGACUAUCAUCUUCUUGAUAAACAAUGGUGGUUAUACAAUUGAAGUUGAGAUCCACGACGGACCUUACAAUGUGAUUAAGAACUGGAAUUACACUGGACUAGUUGAUGCAAUCCAUAACGGGGAAGGAAAAUGUUGGACAACAAAGGUGAGGGGGAUUUUGAUAUCGAACAAUGUCAAUCAUUUUGAGUUAAAAGAUUUGUCAGCUAAAUCAAAUAUAUAUUGUCAUUGUUUCCAAUAUGCCAGGUUCAUUGUGAAGAGGAGCUUGUGGAAGCAAUUGAAACUGCAACUGAAGCCAAGAAAGAUUGCUUGUGUUUCAUUGAAGUGAUUGUUCACAAGGAUGACACCAGCAAAGAGCUGCUUGAAUGGGGUUCUAGAGUUUCUGCCGCUAAUAGUCGCCCACCAAAUCCUCAGUAAAAUUUCUGAAUGAUCAUAGCAAGUUCAGAUAACUGAAAAUAACUGUUUUCCAAGUUGGAAGUUCCCGCGUUAUAUCUCGUGUUUAAUUUCUGGGGUUCAUAUCCCAUGAGGGUAUUCUGCUAGUUAUGGCUUGUUCAUAAGAUUGUCUAUAUUGGGAAUGUUGUCUCUUCAUUUGAGAAAGUUUUGUUUACAUGAUGUCUCGUUUAAGUAACUUUGCGACCUUGUUAAUUGAUGACGAUAUUGAUCUACGCGAACACAAAAUAUGACUGUAUGAGCUCUAU
This 3150-nucleotide long non-coding RNA is filed under the name Nicotiana tabacum (common tobacco). RNAcentral describes it as "long non-coding RNA (NTAB_LNC016364)". Lineage: Eukaryota; Viridiplantae; Streptophyta; Magnoliopsida; Solanales; Solanaceae. The record is from RNAcentral.